CACUUUAUUUCAAAUCCGCGCAAAAUCGACCGUUUGAAACCCUCUGCCAGUCACAACUUGCAGCGGUCUAAUCUCGCUCUGCACGCUGAAAGCCCUAGUCUUCGAUCUCCUUCUUCUUGGUUCUUGUUGUAAUGAAGUUAUAAAUGGGUACUACAAAACGCUCUCAUGUCGAUAACUUAUUUGACAGCCUGGUAAAAUUGCUCAUGGACCAGCAAGAACAGCUUAAAACUCUCGUUCAAGAGAGAAAAUUCCUUGAAGAUCGCAUCAAGGUACAACAUGAGCGAUGUCUCUCCGAAAUUCGUCUCUUCGAAGAUCAUAUCACUCAGAUGAAGGAGGCUUUGGCAGAGAAAGACAUGACUUGCAUGCUUAAGACCGUCAAAUCAGAUUUGAUGAUUGGAUUCAAGCACAGAGAGGCUUCUCUUUACAAAUUGAAAUUAGAGCAAACAGAAGAUGAAUUGGCUGAUUUCAAAGCAUGUUUUGACUACCUCUCUCACAUCCUUGAAAAAAAUUCCAAGGAAACUGACAAUGGACAGGAAGAAGGCAGACAUGGUGAUUUAAAAUCUGCUGGUUCUAAAAGGUUGGAUAAUGAAGUAAAAAGGUUAAAGUUUGAAUAUGAGAAGCUUGCUUCUGAAAAGAAUUCUGAGAUAUCUGCACUGUUGAAAGAGAAAAGUUUUGUAUGGAAUCAGUAUAAUGUUUUAGAGAGCAAUCUCACAGAUAAAUUGAAGAAUAGCCAAGUUGAGAUUGACCAGGCAAAUGAGAAGAUUGCAAAAGUUCUUGCUAGUGUGGAGCUGCUUCACUCUUCUAACAGCGAGAAGGAUGAAAUGAUUGGAAGCCUGAAAGUUAAAUUGGCUGAGGUGGAGGCUGACAGAAAUAAAUGGAGGGAAAAAAGUUCCCAACUGUCCCAGGAGUUGGACUCAUUGAGAAAGUCCAAAAGUGCUCAAGUUGUAUCUGCACCGAAAAAUGGCAGCACAAGAGCUAAAGCUUUGAGUCAGGGAGUCAAAAGCAGUGGCAGGAAAGGAAGUAAUAAUAUUGUGGUGAAGAAAGAAUUGUCUCCUGGAAAAGCUGGUCAUUCCUUGAAGGAUAUUGCAAAGGUAAUUGAUAAAAAAAAUCAUUAAGUUUUUUUCUUAAAAAAAAAUCAUGAAGUUUUAAGCUUCAUUAAAUGUGUGCAUGACUGAAAACAGUGAGCACCGAGUAGCAGUGGCGUAAGGUCCUUGUAGUGUAGAAGACCACCAAAGCAUAAAAAAGAGGAAAAUUUGCUGACUGAAGCAUCUAUGUGUUCGCUAUAUGUAUCAUCAUUGUGAUGUGCCCACAUCAUAUGUCCAUGAAUUUCAAGAACAUUAAUAUUAUCCCUUGAUCUGUGUGCUUAUUGUACUUAGCCUCUUUCUUGAUGAUUAGGGUAGCAGAAGUUUGAAGAGAAAAGCGGAUGAAGCUGUUAUCAUUCUAGAGACUCCAAGGUUGUUCUCCUCUGCCUUCAAAAUUCCUAAAUUGAAGACCUUAUCUACUCCUGUCUCAUGACCCUACCGUACCCUUUUUUAACCACAAUUAAAACAGAGGGGGUAGCUUCUUCUAAGUGUAAUUGUUUAUUAAGCUUCUCUUGUAGCUCUGUAUUUUGCACUCUCCUGCAUUUGUUGUAAAGGAUGUAAUUGCCUUACCUCGUAGCCAUUAUUCUUUCAUCUAAUCUUAUUGUGCAAAAGUUAUCUGUGGCUUUUGUGGAUUGUGGUUCUCAAUGCGAAGAAUCUUUUGCAAAGAUUAUAUGUUUGUGUAUUAAUUAUUGCUAUUGCUAAUUUUGUAACUUUUGAAGUGUUUU
Molecule: unclassified non-coding RNA, 1807 nt
Filed under: Hevea brasiliensis (rubber tree)
Lineage: Eukaryota; Viridiplantae; Streptophyta; Magnoliopsida; Malpighiales; Euphorbiaceae
Source: RNAcentral